Molecule: ribosomal RNA, 507 nt
Filed under: uncultured bacterium
Lineage: Bacteria
Description: bacterial SSU rRNA
Rfam family: Bacterial small subunit ribosomal RNA
Source: RNAcentral
AUUAGCUAGUUGGUAGGGUAACGGCUUACCAAGGCUAGUAUGUCUAGGGGCUCUGAGAGGAGAAUCCCCCACACUGGUACUGAGACACGGACCAGACUCCUACGGGAGGCAGCAGUAAGGAAUAUUGGUCAAUGGGCGGAAGCCUGAACCAGCCAUCGGCCGCGUGCAGGAUGACUGCCCUAUGGGUUGUUAACGGCUAACUCCGUGCCAGCAGCCGCGGUAAUACGGAGGAUCCGAGUUAUCCGGAUUUAUUGGGUUUAAAGGGUGCGUAGGCGGCCUUAUAAGUCAGGGGUGAAAUACGGCAGCUCAACUGUCGCAGCGCCUUUGAUACUGUAGGGCUUGAAUCUAUUUGAAGUGGUCGGAAUAAGACAAGUAGCGGUGAAAUGCAUAGAUAUGUCUUAGAACUCCGAUUGCGAAGGCAGCUCACUAAGUUAGUAUUGACGCUGAUGCACGAAUGCGUGGGGAUCGAACAGGAUUAGAUACCCUGGUAGUCCACGCCCUAAACGA